AAUUUAACCAAGACUUUCCAAGAUUACUUAAAGAAUAUAGACCAUUUCAUUAAAACUAAAAAUUUUAUCGUCGGAAUAAGAGUGGGUUCCGAAAAUCUUAUUCUAAACCUAGAACAAGCAUAUAGACCUAAAGUAAAAAAUACAACAGCACCCGUAUUUAACUCAGGUA
Gordionus sp. m RMFG-2023 is the source of this 169-nucleotide long non-coding RNA. RefSeq lists it as uncharacterized. The transcript is spliced from 6 exons. Lineage: Eukaryota; Metazoa; Nematomorpha; Gordioida; Chordodea; Parachordodidae. The record is from RefSeq and is a predicted model, not a curated record.